Long non-coding RNA from Athalia rosae (coleseed sawfly), 729 nucleotides. RefSeq lists it as uncharacterized. The record is from RefSeq and is a predicted model, not a curated record. Lineage: Eukaryota; Metazoa; Arthropoda; Insecta; Hymenoptera; Athaliidae. The transcript has 2 exons.
CCCCAGACCUCUGUAAACAUAAAUUUGAACUUGGCGUGAUUUUUAUUCACAAUUUAGUUAAUUUCAUACCGAAAACAAAGCUUACUCGUUGAAUGAGGUGCAGUCGAACAUUAGAGGGUGGCCUUUCUCAUCACUGUGAUUAUCAAGGUUGUAACUGGCCCAUAAAGUACACUUCUACAAGUUUCCAUCCAUCCAACAACGCACCCUCGUACUUUCGCCGUCAAAUACGCCGUACAUGUUAUGGCCCUGGUUUGCCGUAUCGGUUUGCAGCCCCUUAGCUGCGCUCGCCACCGAGAACCCGAAUGUUUAUAGAACUGUCGCUAAGUGGCACCACCUUCUGGAAUUCAAAAUCAAGGGAUCAGACUAUGCAAUUCAAAUUCAAUUAACUUCAAUCUUACAAUUAGUAUUUGAGUUUCAUCAAGUUAGCAAUCAUUUUGAAUAGAGGGGAUAGAUGAAUAAAUUACAACGACAAUUGUUAUAGGCAAACUUUGAAAUUUCAGUAUAUAUUAUUGUAAAUUCAAUGGAUAUAAAACAUCUUUCCGUCCUCGUACAACAACGUAGAUAUAUAUACAUUAUGUACGUAUGUAUAUAAAUAUUAUUAUAAUUGUGUAUAAAAAUUAUAGUUAUAAAAUGGUUUGACAGUUACUCGAAGGUAAUGGGCAUAGAGUGGUAGUGGAUACUUAUGUGUGUAUGUAUAAUGAUCAAUAAAUUACUUAUUUUAUCUCUGUA